Molecule: long non-coding RNA, 1332 nt
Organism: Mesocricetus auratus (golden hamster)
Lineage: Eukaryota; Metazoa; Chordata; Mammalia; Rodentia; Cricetidae
Exons: 2
Source: RefSeq, a predicted model, not a curated record
GAGGUUCUGGGAGAGUCACAAGAGGUGACACAAUAGAGGCUCGGGAAACAAACUUACUGUACUAAUCAGAGUUGGGAACAGAAGAGACGGUGCCUCAUGUGGGGAUGUGGGAAAGCCCAAAGGUCUUCAGGCAGCAGGAGGCAGGAGAAAGCACAAACUUUUCCUUUGGAGAUGCAGAAGAAUAUCUUAGGGUUGGCUAUAGGACUCAGUUGUUGUUCUGAGAGGUGGGAUGAACCCACUAUGCCCUGUAGAAGCUUGGUUCUAGGAGUUAUACUGUCUUAGUUAGGGAUGCUGUUGCUGCAAUGAAACACCAUGACUAAAGCAACUAGGUAGAGAGUUGUUUGAAUCACACUUCCACAUCACUGUUCAUCAUGGAAGGAAGUCAGGACAGGAACUCAGGGCAGGAGCCUGGAGGCAGGAGCUGCUACAGGGGCCAUGGAGGGGAGCUGCUUACUGGCUUGCUCCCCAUGGCUUGCUCAGCCUGCUGUCUUAUAGCACUUAGGACCCCCUGCCCAGGGAGGGAACUGCUGAAAUGGGCUGGGCUCUUCCCCAUCAAUUACUAAUUAAGAAAAUGCCUUACAGGCUUGCCUACACCCGAUCUUGUGGAGGCGUUUUCCCAAUUGAGGCUCCCUCUUCAGUAACUCUAGCCUAUGUCAAGUAGACAUAAAGCUAUCCAGCACACUCAUGAUUACCAGAAAUACAUGAAUGUUCAGGUCUAGCAUGGGAAGCAGCGUAGCAUUUGCAUAUGACGCAUGUGCACCCUCCCACGUACUUCAUCCCAUCUCUACAUUGUUCAUAACAUUUAAUACGAUGUAAAUAGGGAUUGUUUGGUGUGGUUUAGGAGUCGGGGUGAGAAGUCAACUGUACUUGCUCACUACAGGUGCAGCUCCCCUCACAUAGUUUCCAGCUACAUUUUGUUGGCCCUAUGAUACAGACAGCUGAUGACACUGUCUCCUGGGGUGUGUCGACCAGAUGGAGAAAGAUGGGUCUGGGCAGAUUUUAGAGAAAGAAAACGAACAGAGUCAACCCCGACUUUGACCCCCGGGAGCUGGAGGAGAAGAUACUGACUCUGCUAUGGUGGUUGGUUGUGGCGCCUCAAAACCCGCACGCCUGUCUCGACCUGGCAAGGUGUGGACCUGGCUAGCUGAUGCAGAGCAUAGACGCGCUGAUGAAUUCACUUCUGUGGCUCAUCUCCACCUUUCUCUAAUUUGAACUUGGGUGUUGUUUUGCUGUUUUAUGAGUCUGAGUGUAAUUAGUCACAAUUAAAAAUCCGAAAUCUCUAAGCAUGUUUGCAGUCCAAUUUCAUCUGAGGCAAUAAAAACAAAUAACUCA